RNAcentral lists this long non-coding RNA (617 nucleotides) under Medicago truncatula (barrel medic). Its description in RNAcentral is "lncRNA gene20230". The record is from RNAcentral. Lineage: Eukaryota; Viridiplantae; Streptophyta; Magnoliopsida; Fabales; Fabaceae.
UUGUCAACCAUCAGAUCAUGCUUAAUCUAACGUUUCACAGCUCACAUCUCACACCCACACUUUGAUUGCAGAAAAUCAUUCUUGCUCGCACGCGUUUUCGCAAUCAACUGCUCCGACGUGACUUUGCUUGCCCUGACCCUUGCUCCGAUGUCGUUUUCCGGCAAGGUCACGGCGACUCAACUGCUCCGACUUGAUUCCUCCGACGUUGCUCUCUUGCUCGCGCUGGAACUUGCUCCGACGUGGUUUUCCGGCUAGAUCACGGCGUUACUCAACUGCUCCGACGUUCCUCCGACUCAAUUGCUCCGACAUUUCUCUCUUGCUCGCGCUUACGCUAGCUCCGACGUGGUUUUCCGGCUAGGUCACGGCCUGAUUUCACUGGCAUUCACCCUUGCUCGCUACUCCGCUUUUGAUUCUUACCACAACUGCUCCGACUCAAUUCCUCCGGCGUUGCUCUCUUGCUCGCGUUCGAACUUGCUUCGACGUGGUUUUCCGGCUAGGUGAUGGCGUGACUCAACUUCUCCGACUCAAUUGCUCCGACUCAAUUAGGUCACGGCCUGAUUUCACCGGCAUUUACCCUUUCUCGCCGCGGCCUGAUUUCACCGGCAUUUACCCUUUCU